GCCUACGGGGCGCAGCAGUAGGGAAUCUUCCACAAUGGGCGAAAGCCUGAUGGAGCAACGCCGCGUGGGUGAAGAAGGUCUUCGGAUCGUAAAACCCUGUUGUCAGAGAAGAAAGUGCGUGAGAGUAACUGUUCACGUUUCGACGGUAUCUAACCAGAAAGCCACGGCUAACUACGUGCCAGCAGCCGCGGUAAUACGUAGGUGGCAAGCGUUAUCCGGAUUUAUUGGGCGUGAAGGGAACGCAGGCGGUCUUUUAAGUCUGAUGUGAAAGCCUUCGGCUUAACCGGAGUAGGGCAUUGGAAACG
This 305-nucleotide ribosomal RNA is filed under the name uncultured bacterium. RNAcentral describes it as "bacterial SSU rRNA". It matches the Rfam family "Bacterial small subunit ribosomal RNA", at positions 337 to 634 of the family's 1533-position model. The record is from RNAcentral.